AUGAUAGAGGAAAGCAGAAUUUCUAGUGUAGAGGUGAAAUUCGUAGAUAUUAGAAAGAAUACCAAUUGCGAAGGCAGCUUUCUGGAUCAUUACUGACACUGAGGAACGAAAGCAUGGGUAGCGAAGAGGAUUAGAUACCCUCGUAGUCCAUGCCGUAAACGAUGUGUGUUAGACGUUGGAAAUUUAUUUUCAGUGUCGCAGCGAAAGCGAUAAACACACCGCCUGGGGAGUACGACCGCAAGGUUAAAACUCAAAUGAAUUGACGGGGACCCGCACAAGUAGUGGAGCAUGUGAUUUAAUUCGAAGAUACGCGCAGAACCUUACCAACACUUGACAUGUUCGUCGCGACUCUAAGAGAUUAGAGUUUUCGGUUCGGCCGGACGAAACACAGGUGCUGCAUGGCUGUCGUCAGCUCGUGUCGUGAGAUGUUGGGUUAAGUCCCGCAACGAGCGCAACCCUCACUUUUAGUUGCCAUCAUUAAGUUGGGCACUCUGAAAGAACUGCCAGUGAUAAGCUGGAGGAAGGUGGGGAUGACGUCAAGUCCUCAUGGCCCUUACGUGUUGGGCUACACACGUGCUACAAUGGUAUCUACAACAGGAAGCAAAACGGCAACGUUAAGCAAAUCCCGAAAAGAUACCUCAGUUCGGAUUGCACUCUGCAACUCGAGUGCAUGAAGCUGGAAUUACUAGUAAUCGUGGAUCAGCGUGCCACGGUGAAUGCGUUCCCGGGUCUUGUACACACCGCCCGUCACACCAUGGGAGUUGGUUCUACCUUAAGGCAAGGUUUCAAACCCUUGACCACGGUAUAGUCAGCGACUGGGGUGAAGUCGUAACAAGGUAGCCGUA
RNAcentral lists this ribosomal RNA (845 nucleotides) under uncultured bacterium. Its description in RNAcentral is "bacterial SSU rRNA". It matches the Rfam family "Bacterial small subunit ribosomal RNA", at positions 648 to 1504 of the family's 1533-position model. The record is from RNAcentral.